Molecule: long non-coding RNA, 212 nt
Filed under: Ursus maritimus (polar bear)
Lineage: Eukaryota; Metazoa; Chordata; Mammalia; Carnivora; Ursidae
Description: lncRNA (ENSUMAG00000016045.1)
Source: RNAcentral
UAAAUUGAAAAUCAUUAGCAUUUCCCAUUCCCAUAGCUGUUAUCAUUUCUAUUUUUCUCUUAGUAAGUAGGGUUGAUGACAACAACCUAGACGGUUUUCCAGGAAACAUGAGGAUGCAGAUGUCAGCUGAUAAGAAAGUGAACAAGAAGAAUGGGAUAAAAGAUAGAAGAUCAUCUACUGCUAAAGGGAAGACUGAUCUGAAAACACUGAUG